UACGUAGGUGGCAAGCGUUGUCCGGAUUUACUGGGCGUAAAGAGCGCGCAGGCGGUCGUUCAAGUCGCGUGUGAAAGCCCCCGGCUCAACUGGGGAGGGUCACGCGAUACUGAUCGACUCGAAGGCAGGAGAGGGUAGUGGAAUUCCCGGUGUAGUGGUGAAAUGCGUAGAUAUCGGGAGGAACACCAGUGGCGAAGGCGGCCACCUGGACUGUACCUGACGCUAACACGCGAAAGCUAGGGGAGCGAACGGG
Molecule: ribosomal RNA, 253 nt
Filed under: uncultured bacterium
Lineage: Bacteria
Description: partial 16S ribosomal RNA
Rfam family: Bacterial small subunit ribosomal RNA
Source: RNAcentral